Urocitellus parryii (Arctic ground squirrel) is the source of this 1947-nucleotide non-coding RNA. NCBI's taxonomy places the organism in Eukaryota, Metazoa, Chordata, Mammalia, Rodentia, Sciuridae. The record is from RefSeq and is a predicted model, not a curated record.
AUGCAUCUUGCAGAGGCACGCCCAGAUUUAAAGAAUGAGAAUAGGAUGAGGCCAUCAAAAGAGAGUCUAGAAGGAGAAAAAUGAAAGGAAACUGAAAAGUCAGGAGUUCAGCUAAGAAAUCAGGUGAGACAUGAAGUCUAUCUGAAUCACCCGCUGAGAUGUUGCCCAGUGCUGAGAUGUUGCCCCAGGCGGGGUCACCCGUCGUGUAGACGCUGCCUUUGUGCAGUUGAGGGAGCUAGCCCCUGCCGCACAAUGCGUAUUUAUAUUCACGUGUGCCUGCUGUGGGAGCAGGGCCGGAAGAUCAUCAUGAUGAGGGGAUCCCAGGGAACAUUGGGGAAGCCAGACUCUCGAGCAAGUGUGGUAUAAAAUCAGUGGUCUAGGACAUCUYGGAGCCCAUCCACCAAGCCUCUAUCAGUAGACGAGUCCAGAAGAAGGAACACCAGUCUUAAGCUCCAAAACAGCUCCGCCACCUCCCGAACUUCAUCUGCUUCCCCCAGCCAGGAGGACUCUCCACCGCCACAGGCUUCGCCAGAACCCUCUUCACCAAUGCCCAAAACGCAGCCAGAGUCAGAUAUGUCUCUCGAAUCGCAGCCUCCCACGCCGCCCGAACCGGAGUCCAGCAACCGGCGCAAGAAGUAUGAGCCUCCCGAAACCUGGGCUCAAAACCUGGGGCGUGAUGUCCGCGACAACCGGAGCUCCCUGUCGCCRGACGCGCACAGCUGCGAAUCCCGAGACUCGCACCACGGGCAGCCGCGGGAAUAUUCGCGCCCGACUCCCACGGAGUGGAAGGUCUAUCCCCAGCAUCAGCMUCGCACACCUUACCCUACCUCCAUCCAGAUGGAUGUCGACUGUAUGUUCGAAAUGCAACAGCAGAAGCUGCAGGAGGAAGACGAGCCCAGACCCAAGAAAGGCAUCACCAUCGCUGUGUCAUCUCGGGCACUCUUCAACAUGRUGGAUGACAGGAGAAUCUACGAGGAAGAAGGUCUGGAAAAGUACAUGGAAUACCAGCUCACCAACGAGAACGUCAUCCUGACGCCCGGGCCCGCGUUCCGCUUCGUCAAGGCCCUGCAGCAUGUCAAUGCUAGACUCCGAGAUCUGUAUCCUCACGAUCAGGAGUUAUUCGAUAUCGUACUGAUGACGAAUAACCACGCCCAGGUGGGGGUGCGCCUGAUAAACAGCGUCAAUCACUAUGGCCUCCUAAUUGACCGCUUCUGUUUCACGGGUGGGAAAAGUCCCAUUGGCUAUCUGAAGGCCUAUCUCACCAACUUGUAUCUUUCUGCGGAUUUUGAAAAAGUCCAAGAAGCCAUACAAGAAGGUAUUGCCUCGGCAACCAUGUUUGAUGGGGCCAAAGAUAUGCCUUACUGCGACAUUCAGCUCCGUGUGGCCGUGGACGGGGAUGCGGUCUUCUUCUCUGGUGAGUCGGAGCAGACUGCCAAAGAGCACAGGCGGGACAAAUUYUUCCAACACGAAACACUCUCUGAGAAUAAGCCCCUUGUUCAGAGUCCCCUGAAAGGCUUUCUGGAAGAUUUAGGCAGACUACAAAAGAAGUUUUAUGCCAARGAUGAACGGUUACUGUGUCCUAUCAGGACCUACCUGGUUACAGCCCGCAGUGCGGCCAGCUCAGGGGCCCGCAUGCUGAAGACKCUUCGCCGCUGGGGUCUAGAGAUAGACGAAGCUCUUUUUCUGGCGGGAGCCCCUAAAGGUCCCAUCUUGGUGAAGAUCCGGCCCCAUAUCUUCUUUGAUGACCGGUUGUUCCUCAUUGAAGGAGCCAAGAAAUUAGGCACCAUCACAGCUCAUGCACCUUAUGGAGCUGGCCAAAAUCCCAGAAAGUGGAAGAAAAGUCUUCCAGACAGACCCAAAGAGUCAAGGCAGAGAACUGCAACACUGCAGGAUAUUUGUGACAAAGGGGUGCCAAGACCACCUGCACUGCAGGGUCUUAGGAGCUGA